This 1355-nucleotide ribosomal RNA is filed under the name marine metagenome. RNAcentral describes it as "bacterial LSU rRNA". It matches the Rfam family "Bacterial large subunit ribosomal RNA", at positions 608 to 2066 of the family's 2925-position model. The record is from RNAcentral.
UUGUAUAAUGGGUCAGUGACUUAAUUUAUUAAGCAAGCUUAAGCCAUCUAGGUGUAGGCGCAGCGAAAGCAAGUCUUAAUAGGGCGAUUAGUUUAAUGAAUUAGACCCGAAAACGAAUGAGCUUACCAUGAGCAGGUUGAAAGUUGGGUAACACCAACCGGAGGACCGAACCAGUUGACGUUGAAAAGUCUUUGGAUGACUUGUGGUAAGGGGUGAAAGGCCAACCAAAUUCGUAGAUAGCUGGUUUUCCGCGAAAACUAUUUAGGUAGUGCGUUGAAUAAACAUAUGUUUGGAGGUAGAGCACUAAAUGGGCUAGGGGAGAGAAAUCUUUACCAAACCUAAUAAAACUCCGAAUGCCAAACAUAAUUCCUCAACAGACAGACUGUGGGUGCUAAGGUCCAUGGUCGAGAGGGGAACAGCCCAGAUCACCAGAUAAGGUCCCUAAAUUAUGAUUAAGUGUGAAAGGAUGUGGAGAUUCCUUAACAGCCGGGAGGUUGGCUUAGAAGCAGCCAUCCUUUAAAGAUAGCGUAACAGCUCACCGGUCUAAUAGAGUUUCUGCGCCUAAGAUGUAACGGGGCUCAAAUCAUGUACCGAAUCUGUGGGUGUAUAAAGUUUUCGAAUUUUAUACGCGGUAGCGGAACGUUCUGUAAGCCUGCAAAGGUGUACCCGCGAGGGACACUGGAGGUAUCAGAAGUGCGAAUGCUGACAUAAGUAACGAUUAACAGAGUGAAAAACUCUGUCGCCGAAAAUCCAAGGUUUCCUGCGCAAGGUUAAUCCGCGCAGGGUUAGUCGGCCCCUAAGACGAGGGCGAAAGCCGUAGUUGAUGGGAACAAGGUUAAUAUUCCUUGACCAGAUGAGAGUGACGGAUUUCAUAAAUUGUAAGUUCUUAAUGGAUUGAACUUGCCGUGAAGAGGUCCCAGGAAAUAACCUCAUCAUAGACCGUACCCUAAACCGACACAGGUGGAUUAUUAGAGUAUAAUUAGGCGCUUGAGAGAAUGAUGUUGAAGGAACUCGGCAAAAUGCCUCUAUAACUUCGGAAGAAAGAGGACCUUUUUUAAGGCAACUUGAUUAAGGUGGCACAAGCCAGGGAGAAGCGACUGUUUAUCAAAAACACAGGACUCUGCUAACACGUAAGUGGAUGUAUAGGGUCUGACGCCUGCCCGGUGCUGGAAGGUUAAUGCGAUAGGUGCAAGCUUAUUUCUGAAGCCCCAGUGAACGGCGGCCGUAACUAUAACGGUCCUAAGGUAGCGAAAUUCCUUGUCGGGUAAGUUCCGACCUGCAUGAAUGGCGUAACGAUUUCUCCGCUGUCUCCAACAUCAACUCAGUGAAAUUGAAUUCUCCGUGAAGAUGCGGAG